RNAcentral lists this ribosomal RNA (415 nucleotides) under uncultured bacterium. RNAcentral's name for it is "bacterial SSU rRNA". It matches the Rfam family "Bacterial small subunit ribosomal RNA", at positions 29 to 488 of the family's 1533-position model. The record is from RNAcentral.
AGCGAACGCUGGCGGCAGGCCUAACACAUGCAAGUCGAACGCACCUUCGGGUGAGUGGCGGACGGGUGAGUAACACGUGGGAACGUACCUUUAGGUUCGGAAUAACGCAGGGAAACUUGCGCUAAUACCGAAUGUGCCCUUCGGGGAAAGGAUUUAUCGCCUUUAGAGCGGCCCGCGUUAGAUUAGCUAGUUGGUGGGGUAAUGGCUCACCAAGGCUACGAUCUAUAGCUGGUCUGAGAGGAUGAUCAGCCACACUGGGACUGAGACACGGCCCAGACUCCUACGGGAGGGCAGCAGUGGGGAAGUCUUGCGCAAUGGGCGAAAGCCUGACGCAGCCAUGCCGCGUGAAUGAUGAAGGUCUUAGGAUUGUAAAAUUCUUUUAGUCAGGGACGAUAAUGACGGUACCUGCAGAAAA